AUUAAAAGAUGAUGAUUUUGUUAUCGCCCCAGUCUGAAAAAAGUGUGGAUUCGAUUCUCUGAACAAUU
RNAcentral lists this small nucleolar RNA (68 nucleotides) under Bicyclus anynana (squinting bush brown). The record is from RNAcentral. Lineage: Eukaryota; Metazoa; Arthropoda; Insecta; Lepidoptera; Nymphalidae.